RNAcentral lists this ribosomal RNA (525 nucleotides) under Triticum aestivum (bread wheat). RNAcentral's name for it is "partial small subunit ribosomal RNA". Lineage: Eukaryota; Viridiplantae; Streptophyta; Magnoliopsida; Poales; Poaceae. The record is from RNAcentral.
AUGCUUGCAGCAUCCGACACUGAUAGCUCGGACCUCGAUGAGCCCGUAGAAUCCUCCAACACGGGAUCUAUCAACCUAGAUCCUUUCGACUAUGUCUACUCGAACAUCCCAGACAGCACGCACAUCCUGAAGCACGCGGCAAACUGCGAGCAUUGCAAGGCCAAGAAGUUCCAGUACGAGACUGACGACUUUUGCUGUCGGAACGGGGAGAUUGAGCUAGCUGAACCAGAGCCUAUCCCAGAGCUGAUGAGGUUAUGGUCAAGCACGGAUGCAGACUCUCGGCAUUUCCGAGAGAGCAUUCGGUUCUUCAACGGGCACUUUGCCUUCACUACCCUUGGCGUCAGCCUAGACAACAACUACACAAACAUGAAGUCCGGGGUGUACACGUUUCGGGCACAUGGCACUAUGUACCACAAGGUGCACUCGUUCGGUCCAAGAUCUCGCCCUGAACAUCUGCAGUUGUACUUCUACGAUGACGAUCCCAGCUUAAGCCAUCGCAAGGAGGCCACCAAGCAAUUGGACCAG